RNAcentral lists this ribosomal RNA (429 nucleotides) under Gemmatimonadota bacterium. RNAcentral's name for it is "Gemmatimonadetes bacterium partial 16S ribosomal RNA". It matches the Rfam family "Bacterial small subunit ribosomal RNA", at positions 355 to 776 of the family's 1533-position model. The record is from RNAcentral. Lineage: Bacteria; Pseudomonadati; Gemmatimonadota.
UAGGGAAUCUUCGGCAAUGGACGAAAGUCUGACCGAGCAACGCCGCGUGAGUGAAGAAGGUUUUCGGAUCGUAAAACUCUGUUGUUAGAGAAGAACAAGGACGUUAGUAACUGAACGUCCCCUGACGGUAUCUAACCAGAAAGCCACGGCUAACUACGUGCCAGCAGCCGCGGUAAUACGUAGGUGGCAAGCGUUGUCCGGAUUUAUUGGGCGUAAAGCGAGCGCAGGCGGUUUCUUAAGUCUGCUGUGAAAGCCCCCGGCUCAACCGGGGAGGGUCAUUGGAAACUGGGAGACUUGAGUGCAGAAGAGGAGAGUGGAAUUCCAUGUGUAGCGGUGAAAUGCGUAGAUAUAUGGAGGAACACCAGUGGCGAAGGCGGCUCUCUGGUCUGUAACGGACGCUGAGGCUCGAAAGCGUGGGGAGCAAACAGG